This 1122-nucleotide ribosomal RNA is filed under the name Triticum aestivum (bread wheat). RNAcentral's name for it is "partial small subunit ribosomal RNA". The record is from RNAcentral. Lineage: Eukaryota; Viridiplantae; Streptophyta; Magnoliopsida; Poales; Poaceae.
AUGGCGACCCCACGAUCCCCGGGUCCUCGCGGCGACGAGCUCCUUGACUCAGCGCCGCUGCUCGGCGGCGGUGGGUGGCGUCGUGGCGCGCUGCGCCGGCCGUCGCUCCGUGGGACGGCGCGGCUGCUGCGGCAGGGCGGUCGGCGGGCGAUGCGGGAGCCGUCCCUGCUCGUGCGGGAGACUGCGGCGGAGCAGCUAGAGGAGCGCCAGGCCGACUGGGCGUACUCCCGCCCUGUCGUGGCACUCGACCUCCUCUGGAACCUCGCCUUCAUCCUCACCACCGCCGUCGUGCUCGUGCUCAGCGGCGACGAAAGCCCGUCUGUGCCGCUCCGUAUUUGGGUAGCCGGGUAUGCCGUUCAGUGCGUCCUGCACAUGGUUUGUGUUGCCAUGGAGUAUCGUGUGCGUCACGGCCAGCGUGGCGGGUCCUCUACGGCCGCCGACGAGGAGAGGGGGACUGAUGGAUCAUCCUCGUCCAUAGACGACGCCGGAGAGAGCGGUCCCCAUGGACGCACUGGCGACUUCGUCAGUGUAGCAAAACAUCUGGAAUCUGCUAAUACAAUGUUCUCCUUUAUAUGGUGGAUAAUUGGAUUUUACUGGGUAUCUGCUGGUGGACAAGUUCUUACCAAUGAUGCACCUCAGCUCUACUGGCUUUGCAUCGUCUUUCUGGCAUUUGAUGUUUUCUUUGUCGUCUUUUGUGUUGCCCUGGCUUGCAUCAUUGGUAUUGCUGUUUGUUGCUGCCUCCCUUGUAUCAUAGCAAUUUUAUAUGCAGUAUCAGAUCAGGAGGGAGCUUCUGAAGAUGACAUUCGCCAAAUUCCGAAAUACAAAUUUCGGAGGAUGGAGGAGCCUGAAAAGCAAUCUGUCACCACGACUGAAUCUUCUGGUGGAAUAAUGAUAGAGUGUGGUACUAACCAACCUAUUGAGAAAGUACUUGCAGCUGAAGAUGCAGAGUGUUGCAUCUGCCUUUCAGUGUAUGAUGAUGGCGCCGAGCUGCGUGAACUCCCUUGUGGCCACCAUUUCCACUGCGCUUGCAUUGACAAGUGGCUUCACAUCAAUGCAACUUGCCCUUUGUGUAAGUUGAAUGUGCGGAAAAACAGCAGCAGCAGUGGUAGUGAAGAAGUAUAA